UUAUAAGAGAAUAAUGGAAUGUGCUUGAUCUAUUACCUUUUUUUUCCAAUACAUAAAUACAAUGCGGGGGAAAUGACUGCUGCAGACAGGAGGAAAUGUUUUUUUGAAUGUUUUUGAUGAGAGGGAAAAUGAAGCUGGGAGCUGCAGGGUCAUUAAUGGGCGAUGAGCGCAGAGGUCAUCUCUCACAUUCUCUUUGACAUUUCUCUCAUCUGACGUGCACAAACCGUCGCAGCCUCGUGCACGCUCUCCAUCCGCUCAUCUACCGCCAGCCUCACUCGAUCGCACUUUUAAUGGAAACUUAGUUUGGCGGCGUGUUGGCGUCACAACUUCGUGGGCUGACUUUAACUGUGGCGGCGUGGUUGCUGUCUUCACUCCAUAGCACCAUCCGUGCUCCCAUACCUGCCAAUCACCAACCUCCAGGAAUCAGGCGUGAGGAACAUCUUCAUACGCGACGCCACAGAGCUGUGAAAGUGCUCGGCAGCAGAUCCUCCGACCGACUUGGACCCAAACGCCAUGACCUCACAGUGGAAGAAGAACAAAGGGAGGCUUUUUGAUACGCAGCGUGGUGAGCGCAGAGGAGUGAGCAGAAAUCACGCUGCUCCAAACAUUUCAUAAUGCAGACAUACAACUUAAUUGCGAUUGUGCGUGGUUGUUUGGUUCCUUAUUUACUCCAACAACUUUGUUACAGAGCCACACGUCAAACUAUUUACACGCUGGUGUAAGCACUUACGGCUACGACUCUUUCUGCUUGACAACGGCCAUAAACACAGGAGUAAGAGAUCAAAACUGUUCAUCAGAGAGCGUGACAGAUGACAGAUAUGGCAAGAGAUUUUCCAUGAUCUUCUGCACACAUGGGGGGAGGGGGGACUUCAAGGGACGGAGGAGGGGAAGGAAAAAAGGAGCUCGGAGAAAAGUUGGUUUCCACACGAGGAGGUGCAGCGGCUCAAGAAAUGAGAAAGUCAGAAAGUUGCCACCAACAGUGACGAUGGGAUCAGCGUGUGCUGCAGACGGGCUGGGCUUCCUUCCCUUUACGGGUGGGGGGUCAGCCAUUAACUAGUCACAUGAAUGGUGAAAUAAUUUUUAAGUUUGAGUUUAGGAGAAGUCUUCUUUCAUUGAACCACUCUUUUUGGCUUACUCGAGGACAUUAAAGUACUGCAGUACUUGCUGGAAUGUGAGUUCGUACUGAAAAACGAUUUCCUAAAAGCUGUUGUUAAAGAUGUGCACAGAAACAUGACGUCAGCCGCCGACUGACAAAGUCAAACACAUUCAAACAUUCACACGUCUCCAAAGACUGGGGUCAAAGUUCAUGCUCAGCU
Molecule: long non-coding RNA, 1316 nt
Organism: Oreochromis aureus
Lineage: Eukaryota; Metazoa; Chordata; Actinopteri; Cichliformes; Cichlidae
Exons: 3
Source: RefSeq, a predicted model, not a curated record